GGCAUCUUGAUCUGAUUAAAGAAUUUAUUGGUAAUGGAUGGGGAUGCGUGACAUUAGGUAGUAGGUGAGGUAACCGGCUCACCUAGCCGACGAUGUCUAGGGGUUCUGAGAGGAAGGUCCCCCCACACUGGUACUGAGAUACGGACCAGACUCCUACGGGAGCAGCAGUGAGGAAUAUUGGUCAAUGGUCGGAAGACUGAACCGGCCAUGCCGCGUGCAGGAAGAAUGUCUUAUGGAUUGUAAACUGCUUUUGUAUGGGGCUAAUAAUAACUUUGCGAAGUUAGAUGCAGGUACCAUACGAAUAAGGAUCGGCUAACUCCGUG
This 323-nucleotide ribosomal RNA is filed under the name uncultured bacterium. Its description in RNAcentral is "bacterial SSU rRNA". It matches the Rfam family "Bacterial small subunit ribosomal RNA", at positions 187 to 507 of the family's 1533-position model. The record is from RNAcentral.